UCAUAGUCAUCAAAUCCUAGAUCCGCCUCUCUGUAGCAGUACCAAUUUCAAAGAACUGAGUCUGCGAGGCGCAUCGAUUUCUUCUUCACCUGCUCCAUUUUGCCUCCCCUAACACGAGAUUCAUGUUUGGUAUCUUCAAGGUCCGCAUAGUAUCAUUCCCUCCACAAUUGAUUGAAAUUUCGAAGGUAGAAAGCUACCAAACGUUAGUGGAAUCCUCUUCUAUUGAAUGUCGCUUGCCAGUGUUACCAUUAUCUCUGUCGGUGCGAUGGUCCUAAUGGUGGUGUUGGGUCUUUUUUUCGAUUGUCGCCCUAUGUUAGUAUACCUAGCUAAACAUGAG
RNAcentral lists this long non-coding RNA (337 nucleotides) under Nicotiana benthamiana. RNAcentral's name for it is "long non-coding RNA (NBEN_LNC042241)". The record is from RNAcentral. Lineage: Eukaryota; Viridiplantae; Streptophyta; Magnoliopsida; Solanales; Solanaceae.